UAUCUCUGUAGAGUCUGCAUAUCAAUAAGCGGAGGAAAAGAAACUAACUAGGAUUCCCUCAGUAACGGCGAGUGAAGCGGGAAGAGCUCAAAUCUGAAAUCUUCAAGGUUUUACCUUGACGAAUUGUAGUUUAAAGAAGUGUUUUCUGUUGGAAUUUUGGUAAAAGUUCUUUGGAAAAAGACAUCAAAGAGGGUGAGAAUCCCGUAUUUGACCAUUAUUUCCAGCUUUGUGAUACACUUUCAAAGAGUCGGAUUGUUUGGGAAUGCAGUCCAAAAUGGGUGGUAAAUUUCAUCUAAAGCUAAAUAUUGGCGAGAGACCGAUAGCGAACAAGUACCGUGAGGGAAAGAUGAAAAGAACUUUGAAAAGAGAGUUAAACAGUACGUGAAAUUGUCAAAAGGGAAGCGUUUGACACCAGUGUUGUUUUCUCGAAAAUCAAUUAAAAAAGAUUGGAUUUUGUGUUGUAUUGACUUUAUCAGCUUUCAGCACUCUUUUUCUUGUCUUUUUUAAUGCACUUUUCGUUUAACAAGUCAACAUCAAUUUCUUUUGUUGUAAAAGGGUCAUUGGAAGGUGGCUUUCUUUUCGGAGAAAGUGUUUAUAGCCUUUGACUUCUGCAAUCGGAGAAAUUGAGGUCUGCAGCGUAGAUCCUUCGGGGUUAGAUGCAUUUGUGCUAAGUUAUAGCCUUUCAUAGACAACUUGUUGACUAUGAUCAGUCAUGUAGCUUACUCGCUUAUGUUAUUUUACCUACGCUUAGGAUGUUGAUCUCUCACAGUCGAGC
This 775-nucleotide ribosomal RNA is filed under the name uncultured Neocallimastigales. RNAcentral's name for it is "partial large subunit ribosomal RNA". It matches the Rfam family "Eukaryotic large subunit ribosomal RNA", at positions 24 to 645 of the family's 3401-position model. The record is from RNAcentral. Lineage: Eukaryota; Fungi; Neocallimastigomycota; Neocallimastigomycetes; Neocallimastigales.